This 89-nucleotide ribosomal RNA is filed under the name Nasonia vitripennis (jewel wasp). RNAcentral's name for it is "partial 5.8S ribosomal RNA". It matches the Rfam family "5.8S ribosomal RNA", at positions 66 to 153 of the family's 154-position model. Rfam says of the family: 5.8S ribosomal RNA (5.8S rRNA) is a component of the large subunit of the eukaryotic ribosome. It is transcribed by RNA polymerase I as part of the 45S precursor that also contains 18S and 28S rRNA. The record is from RNAcentral. RNAcentral also lists the same sequence under 3 other names. Lineage: Eukaryota; Metazoa; Arthropoda; Insecta; Hymenoptera; Pteromalidae.
UGUGAACUGCAGGACACAUGAACAUCGACAUUUCGAACGCACAUUGCGGUCCUCGGAUACGAUUCCCGGACCACGCCUGGCUGAGGGUC